RNAcentral lists this ribosomal RNA (254 nucleotides) under uncultured bacterium. Its description in RNAcentral is "partial 16S ribosomal RNA". It matches the Rfam family "Bacterial small subunit ribosomal RNA", at positions 524 to 776 of the family's 1533-position model. The record is from RNAcentral.
UACGUAGGCAGCAAGCGUUGUUCGGAGUUACUGGGCGUAAAGGGUGCGUAGGCGGCUUUUUAAGUCUUGGUGUGAAAUCUCCCGGCUCAACUGGGAGGGUGCGCCGGAUACUGAGGGGCUAGAGUGUGGGAGAGGAAAGUGGAAUUCCUGGCGUAGCGGUGAAAUGCGUAGAUAUCAGGAGGAACACCGGUGGUGUAAACGCUUUCUGGACCAUAACUGACGCUGAGGCACGAAAAGCGUGGGUAGCAAACAGG